GACGAACGCUGGCGGCGUGCCUGACACAUGCAAGUCGGACGGUUCUUGUACCUUCAAGCUUGCUUGUUGGUGCAAGGAUAGUGGCGGACGGGUGAGUAACGCGUGAACAUCUACCCAUUGGAGGGGGACAACCCGUCGAAAGGCGGGCUAAUACCGCGUAAGCCGCGAGGUGAGAGGCUGCCUAUUGGUGGCCGCCGAUGGAUGGGUUCGCGUCCUAUCAGCUGGUUGGUGGGGUAACGGCCUACCAAGGCGAAGACGGGUAGCCGGUCUGAGAGGAUGGCCGGCCACACUGGAACUGAGACACGGUCCAGACUCCUACGGGAGGCAGCAGUGGGGGAAUAUUGGGCAAUGGGGGAAACCCUGACGCAGCAACGCCGCGUGAGUGAGGAAGGCCCUCGGGUCGUAAAGCUCUGUCAGGUGGGAAGAAAUCGAUGAAGGUGAACAACCUCCAAUCCUUGACGGUACCACCAGAGGAAGCACCGGCUAAACUCCGUGCCAGCAGCCGCGGUAAAACGUCUA
RNAcentral lists this ribosomal RNA (519 nucleotides) under uncultured bacterium. RNAcentral's name for it is "bacterial SSU rRNA". It matches the Rfam family "Bacterial small subunit ribosomal RNA", at positions 28 to 531 of the family's 1533-position model. The record is from RNAcentral.